Long non-coding RNA from Mugil cephalus (flathead mullet), 339 nucleotides. RefSeq lists it as uncharacterized. NCBI's taxonomy places the organism in Eukaryota, Metazoa, Chordata, Actinopteri, Mugiliformes, Mugilidae. The record is from RefSeq and is a predicted model, not a curated record. The transcript has 2 exons.
GUUUCGGACCAGAACUAUGACCCUCUGCAUCCGGUCGAUCUCCUGGCGAAGGAAGAUGUUCAUGGGCUGGAAAGGACCCAUCUUCUGAAGAUGCUCCCUCACCUGGUUUCAGUCAAGCAGAUUUUUCCCUGCGUCUGUGGGUCGAUGAGGAGGGGGAAGCGGGCACCCUUGGUCACAAUGAUGCCAUUGUGAAUGGACAGAUCAUCAUUGGGGAGACCCUGUGAGUCAGAUGAUGAAUGUUGAGUGAGUGUGGAAUGCUAGCUAAUUAAAAUGGUCAUAAAUCAUUUGUUUUUUAUUUCAUAGAAAAUUAAAUUAAAUAUUUUAUAAUGCACAAUUAAA